UGCGUAGGCGGUCUUAUAAGUCAGAGGUGAAAUCCCUACCGCUUAACGGAGGAACUGCCUUUGAAACUAUAAGACUUGAAAUAGUGUGACGUUGGCGGAAUGAGUAGUGUAGCGGUGAAAUGCAUAGAUAUUACUCAGAACACCUAUUGCGAAGGCAGCUAACGAACAUUAAUUUGACGCUGAGGCACGAAAGCGUGGGUAGCGAACAGGAUUAGAUACCCUGGUAGUCC
This 230-nucleotide ribosomal RNA is filed under the name uncultured bacterium. Its description in RNAcentral is "partial 16S ribosomal RNA". It matches the Rfam family "Bacterial small subunit ribosomal RNA", at positions 568 to 796 of the family's 1533-position model. The record is from RNAcentral.